UGGGGAAUCUUCCGCAAUGGACGAAAGUCUGACGGAGCAACGCCGCGUGAGUGAAGAAGGUUUUCGGAUCGUAAAAACUCUGUCUUUUGGGGCGAACGUGAGUAUGGUGAACAAUCAUAGUCAGUGACGGUACCAAAGGAGGAAGCCACGGCUAACUACGUGCCAGCAGCCGCGGUAAUACGUAGGUGGCAAGCGUUGUCCGGAAUUAUUGGGCGUAAAGAGCGCGUAGGCGGGAUAGUCAGUCUGUUGUAAAGUGCGGGGCUCAACCCCGUGAUGGCAAUGGAAACAGCUAUUCUUGAGUGCAGGAGAGGAAAGUGGAAUUCCCAGUGUAGCGGUGAAAUGCGUAGAUAUUGGGAGGAACACCAGUGACGAAGGCGACUUUCUGGAUUGUGUCUGACGCUGAGGCGCGAAAGCCAGGGGAGCGAACGGGAUUAGAUACCCCGGUAGUCCUGGCCGUAAACGAUGGGUACUAGGUGUGGGGGGUAUCGACCCCCUUCCGUGCCGGAGUUAACGCAAUAAGUACCCCGCCUGGGGAGUACGGUCGCAAGACUGAAACUUAAGGAAUUGACGGGGGUCAUAGCUGUUUCCUG
This 590-nucleotide ribosomal RNA is filed under the name uncultured bacterium. RNAcentral's name for it is "partial 16S ribosomal RNA". It matches the Rfam family "Bacterial small subunit ribosomal RNA", at positions 355 to 941 of the family's 1533-position model. The record is from RNAcentral.